UGCAGUCGAGCGAACAGAUAAGGAGCUUGCUCCUUUGACGUUAGCGGCGGACGGGUGAGUAACACGUGGGUAACCUACCUAUAAGACUGGGAUAACUUCGGGAAACCGGAGCUAAUACCGGAUAACAUUUGGAACCGCAUGGUUCUAAAGUGAAAGAUGGUUUUGCUAUCACUUAUAGAUGGACCCGCGCCGUAUUAGCUAGUUGGUAAGGUAACGGCUUACCAAGGCGACGAUACGUAGCCGACCUGAGAGGGUGAUCGGCCACACUGGAACUGAGACACGGUCCAGACUCCUACGGGAGGCAGCAGUAGGGAAUCUUCCGCAAUGGGCGAAAGCCUGACGGAGCAACGCCGCGUGAGUGAUGAAGGGUUUCGGCUCGUAAAACUCUGUUAUUAGGGAAGAACAAACGUGUAAGUAACUGUGCACGUCUUGACGGUACCUAAUCAGAAAGCCACGGCUAACUACGUGCCAGCAGCCGCGGUAAUACGUAGGUGGCAAGCGUUAUCCGGAAUUAUUGGGCGUAAAGCGCGCGUAGGCGGUUUCUUAAGUCUGAUGUGAAAGCCCACGGCUCAACCGUGGAGGGUCAUUGGAAACUGGGAAACUUGAGUGCAGAAGAGGAAAGUGGAAUUCCAUGUGUAGCGGUGAAAUGCGCAGAGAUAUGGAGGAACACCAGUGGCGAAGGCGACUUUCUGGUCUGUAACUGACGCUGAUGUGCGAAAGCGUGGGGAUCAAACAGGAUUAGAUACCCUGGUAGUCCACGCCGUAAACGAUGAGUGCUAAGUGUUAGGGGGUUUCCGCCCCUUAGUGCUGCAGCUAACGCAUUAAGCACUCCGCCUGGGGAGUACGACCGCAAGGUUGAAACUCAAAGGAAUUGACGGGGACCCGCACAAGCGGUGGAGCAUGUGGUUUAAUUCGAAGCAACGCGAAGAACCUUACCAAAUCUUGACAUCCUUUGAAAACUCUAGAGAUAGAGCCUUCCCCUUCGGGGGACAAAGUGACAGGUGGUGCAUGGUUGUCGUCAGCUCGUGUCGUGAGAUGUUGGGUUAAGUCCCGCAACGAGCGCAACCCUUAAGCUUAGUUGCCAUCAUUAAGUUGGGCACUCUAGGUUGACUGCCGGUGACAAACCGGAGGAAGGUGGGGAUGACGUCAAAUCAUCAUGCCCCUUAUGAUUUGGGCUACACACGUGCUACAAUGGACAAUACAAAGGGCAGCUAAACCGCGAGGUCAUGCAAAUCCCAUAAAGUUGUUCUCAGUUCGGAUUGUAGUCUGCAACUCGACUACAUGAAGCUGGAAUCGCUAGUAAUCGUAGAUCAGCAUGCUACGGUGAAUACGUUCCCGGGUCUUGUACACACCGCCCGUCACACCACGAGAGUUUGUAACACCCGAAGCCGGUGGAGUAACCAUUUAUGGAGCUAGCCGUCG
RNAcentral lists this ribosomal RNA (1422 nucleotides) under Staphylococcus saprophyticus. Its description in RNAcentral is "bacterial SSU rRNA". It matches the Rfam family "Bacterial small subunit ribosomal RNA". Lineage: Bacteria; Bacillati; Bacillota; Bacilli; Caryophanales; Staphylococcaceae. The record is from RNAcentral.